ACGCGAAAACGGGCAGUGAUUGCACCGUUCGUCCAGGCGUGGCGGCCUGGGCCUGAUGAGCAGCCAACA
Molecule: non-coding RNA, 69 nt
Filed under: Humidesulfovibrio sp.
Lineage: Bacteria; Pseudomonadati; Thermodesulfobacteriota; Desulfovibrionia; Desulfovibrionales; Desulfovibrionaceae
Source: RNAcentral